UACGGAGGAUGCAAGCGUUAUCCGGAUUCAUUGGGUUUAAAGGGUGCGUAGGCGGGUCAAUAAGUCAGGGGUGAAAUCCGGCAGCUCAACUGUCGAACUGCCUCUGAUACUGUUGGUCUUGAAUUGGGUUGAGGCAGGCGGAAUAUGACAUGUAGCGGUGAAAUGCUUAGAUAUGUCAUGGAACACCGAUAGCGAAGGCAGCCUGCCAAACCUUGAUUGACGCUGAUGCACGAAAGCGUGGGUAGCGAAC
Molecule: ribosomal RNA, 250 nt
Filed under: uncultured bacterium
Lineage: Bacteria
Description: partial 16S ribosomal RNA
Rfam family: Bacterial small subunit ribosomal RNA
Source: RNAcentral